GGUCGAGUAGCUCAGUCCGGCUAGAGCGGCGCUCUUACAAAGCGCGGGGCAAAGGUUCAAAUCCUUUCUCGACCA
RNAcentral lists this transfer RNA (75 nucleotides) under Acidobacteriota bacterium. RNAcentral's name for it is "Acidobacteria bacterium tRNA-Val". It matches the Rfam family "tRNA". Rfam says of the family: Transfer RNA (tRNA) molecules are approximately 80 nucleotides in length. Their secondary structure includes four short double-helical elements and three loops (D, anti-codon, and T loops). Further hydrogen bonds mediate the characteristic L-shaped molecular structure. tRNAs have two regions of fundamental functional importance: the anti-codon, which is responsible for specific mRNA codon recognition, and the 3' end, to which the tRNAs corresponding amino acid is attached (by aminoacyl-tRNA synthetases). tRNAs cope with the degeneracy of the genetic code in two manners: having more than one tRNA (with a specific anti-codon) for a particular amino acid; and 'wobble' base-pairing, i.e. permitting non-standard base-pairing at the 3rd anti-codon position. Lineage: Bacteria; Pseudomonadati; Acidobacteriota. The record is from RNAcentral. RNAcentral also lists the same sequence under 1 other name.